AUGGAGCCUGAGAUUUGUGGCCAGUGUAAGGUCAGCCUUCUUGAUGCUGCCGACUUCCCUGCAUUCAACUUUUAUUUCCAGAUGAAAUCCUGUAUUUAUGAUUUGUUUUGCAUUGACAGUGAUUUUUUUUCCCUAAUAAAUCCAGAGCCAAUUCCACUUGUCUUAGCUCAGAACCCAUUUCCCAGAUACCCAAGAAGCAUUUAAGAAAUGCUUUCUGAGAUUAAAAUUGACUCAAAACUAGAGCACUUACCAUAAUAUUCAUCUAAGGCUCAAGUGCUCACUACAGAGUGGAUUUUUGGAGUCUUCGUAUGUAAGAAUGAUUUCCUUGAUCUUGCAGGAAACUCUGCAGGGUUCGUGUGUCCUGCUUGUGGUUAUUCUUUAGUAUGGUGCACUACCUGCGCUGGGAGCCUUAGAUUGUGUUACCUGUUAGAAGGUAUAGACGCUCGAUAGUCAAUUCACAUACAGACAAGACUGAGAGGUGUUUGAUUCCGAAGCAAACAUGUGCUUGCUUGGGACAUUAGCUGUGGCUGACCAGCUGUGGGCACUGCUUUAUAGAGCUCAGGGGCAUUAGUCAUUUUUCUUGACUGAUUACAAACAGAUGUGGUUUGUUUGUACUAAGAUGUGAAUCAUCCACAGUACCUUUCAGACAGUUUCAGAGGGAGUGUUGGAGAAAUUUGGGGACAAGAAGUAACCAGUCUCUAGAAGUACUGUCAGCCCUCCAUAUCUAUGGGUUUUGCAUCUCUGGAUUCAACCAAAUUCAGAUUGAAAAUCAUCAGAGAAACAAUUGUUAGAAAGCUCUAGGAGACCACACUUGAAUUUGCCAUGCACUGGCAGCUGUUUACAUCAUCUUUACGUUGCAUUAGGUAUCGUGAUAAACUUUUUGCUCAGUCACUAAGUCAUGU
RNAcentral lists this long non-coding RNA (902 nucleotides) under Capra hircus (goat). Its description in RNAcentral is "lncRNA (ENSCHIG00010032181.1)". The record is from RNAcentral. Lineage: Eukaryota; Metazoa; Chordata; Mammalia; Artiodactyla; Bovidae.